UCCGUCGCGAUCUCGUCCCCCUCCAAGCCCCAUCACCACAUGGCAGGCCAAAAACAUCAACAAAUAUUAUUUUCGCCAUGUGAAACGGAUCGAGUGCAACGAUCUGGCCGUGAAGGUCAAGGUCACCGGGUCAUGGUGGGCAUUUAAGUGGACAUCAAGGCAAAGGAGUGAUCUGAAAUUCUAAGUCUUAUGUCUUAUUACCUUGAGCCAUCAGCGCGUGCAGCCAGUUCAAGGCCCAAGUUCAGCGGAUUGUUCAUAGUGUGUUCAUUCGUGCCUUCUCGAGACUCUUUUUCCCAUAAUAAGUUCUUGCGGGCCGCUACCGUCCUUCAAGACCAUUGGAGGUCCUGAGGCCAAGGCUGAAGACGGUGUUCCGAGCUUCAAACGUUCCCAAAACCAACCAGAAUCUUUCAUGAGUCGGUGGAGCCGCAGAAGAUUGAAGGACCAAGGCAGAAAUCAAAGGGAACGUUUUGAACAGGGUUUGAAGACAGAGAGGGAAAGCAGACCCCAUCAACCCACACCCUGCUCAAGACCAGCCAGUGCUUGACCUUCAAUAAGGAUUACUUGAAUGUCACCCGCGCAGAGCUGACGUCCGACCAAAGGAUUACUUGAAUGUCACCCGCGCAGAGCCGACGUCCUUCGACCAAAGCAGUCACUCCACUCUCCUGAGUUGCUGGGUUGAGAUUAAUUUAUAUAUGAAACUGUCACGUCUCAAAGUCUCUGGCACAAUCCGAUGAAAUUCCUGCGCUGAUUCAAACUAUACUCGCGCAUGCACAUCUCCCCAAGCGCGCACUGACGUCGGCGUGCUCUUUCUUUUUCCAACCAUCAAGUAUGGGCAAUUACGAUUUCAUUCUGCUCAAACAACGUGCGUGCAAUCCGAGACGCCCUGUUUUUUUUUUCUUUUACAUAUCAGGUCGGGGAGCGAAGAAAAAAUCCAAAUGACGAUUCCAGUUCAGAGAACAAAUUUUCAAACAUCCUUUGACAGGGAAAAAAUAAUACAGCUGAACGAUAAAUAAUGAAGGCAAAGCGCGGCGAAAUCAAACGGGGCGGCCAAAGGAAAGCUUUUGAAGCUGCUGUCAUCGCCCGCAACGCGCGGUAGCACCAUGGGUGGUUGCAUCUCUCUGCCAUGGACACACACACAUUAAAAUGCAGCGUCAUCAGAAUGAAGAACCGAGCUGCUGGAGGCCGACAGCAGCCGGUCAGAUUCCUCAAGUCCACGCCGCGGGAGCCGACACCAAGUUUGAUUUUUCUUUUAACUUUUGAUCGCAGUUUGAUUGAUUUUUGUAAUACAAAUCCCUUUUUAACCCGCAUUUAAAUAUAAUGAGGCAGUCAGUUUUGUAUGAGAAACUAAAAUGUUUUCUGCAACAAGGAAAAAGCCCGUUCUCUUCAUUUCCAUGAUCAUCAUCAUCAUCUCCUCGAGUGUCAACUUCUUCAAACAAAAAAUGUUUAUAAUUUAGCGUCAAUGUAAAUCUUACACAUUUAAAAAUAAUUACCAAAAAUUUUAAUUUUAUUGCUUAUUACAUAUUUAUACAUACCAAUCACCUUCUGAUGAUCACUGAUUUUGAAUUUUAUAUCUAGUUUCUAGAAAUUUGAAGUAUACGAACACACAUAAUUAUAUUUUUGAAUUGACUGCAGAUUGUUUUGAAAUUAGAUUAUUUAAAUUUUAAUAAGAUUGUUAGUAAAUAAAAUUUUAUUAACCACUGCAACGACACAGAACAUGUGAA
Long non-coding RNA from Neocloeon triangulifer, 1721 nucleotides. RefSeq lists it as uncharacterized. Lineage: Eukaryota; Metazoa; Arthropoda; Insecta; Ephemeroptera; Baetidae. The transcript has 7 exons. The record is from RefSeq and is a predicted model, not a curated record.